UACGAAGGGGGCUAGCGUUGCUCGGAAUCACUGGGCGUAAAGCGCACGUAGGCGGAUCUUUAAGUCAGGGGUGAAAUCCUGGAGCUCAACUCCAGAACUGCCUUUGAUACUGAGGAUCUUGAGUCCGGGAGAGGUGAGUGGAACUCCGAGUGUAGAGGUGAAAUUCGUAGAUAUCAGGAAGAACACCCGUGGCUAAGGCGGCUCUCUAGUACGGUACUGACGCUGAGACGCGAAAGCGUGGGGAGCGAACAGG
This 253-nucleotide ribosomal RNA is filed under the name uncultured bacterium. RNAcentral describes it as "partial 16S ribosomal RNA". It matches the Rfam family "Bacterial small subunit ribosomal RNA", at positions 524 to 776 of the family's 1533-position model. The record is from RNAcentral.